AUUUAGUACACAGGAAGUCGGCCAGAGAAACAUUUCUCAUAUUUGAAGGCCGGAAAGAGGGACAUUUCUGACACCGGAAGUCAGUGAGAGGACUCUUUCCCACACAGGAAGUCAGCUAGAGAGCCGUCUCCCCUCUCUGGAGCCGAGAGAGGCCGGUUUCCCCCACCAUAGCAGGGCUGGGAGAAAGGGAUGGGGAGAGUCCCUCCUGCCACUGACCCAGGAUGGAUAAAAGUACCCCUUUCAUAGAAGGAAGAAAAUGGGAACAAAGGUGCUGCUGAUCAUCUGAGGUUGCCUGCAUGGCAGUGAAGAACAUGGACCUUUGG
RNAcentral lists this long non-coding RNA (323 nucleotides) under Homo sapiens (human). RNAcentral describes it as "non-protein coding lnc-CRYBA4-52:73". Lineage: Eukaryota; Metazoa; Chordata; Mammalia; Primates; Hominidae. The record is from RNAcentral.